UUGGCCCUGAAUCAAGGCCAUUAGUUUGCUGAAGCUGUUGGUUUCAAGCAGGUGCCUAAAAAAAUGUCUUUCUAUGGUCUGUUGGCCAUUUCAGAAAUUUUAAAAUGUUAUUGUUGAUUCAUUAAAAAGAAACAUCU
This is a small nucleolar RNA of Microtus ochrogaster (prairie vole), 137 nucleotides long. The record is from Ensembl. NCBI's taxonomy places the organism in Eukaryota, Metazoa, Chordata, Mammalia, Rodentia, Cricetidae.